RNAcentral lists this long non-coding RNA (1071 nucleotides) under Canis lupus familiaris (dog). RNAcentral describes it as "lncRNA (ENSCAFG00030002930.1)". Lineage: Eukaryota; Metazoa; Chordata; Mammalia; Carnivora; Canidae. The record is from RNAcentral.
UAUUUUGGAGAAACGCUGUGUAGCUUUGCAGACGCGAACCGCAGGGUAAUUCCCAGGUGUCCUAGAAUUCUCCUGUGGGCUCGAAGGGGGAGGCCAACGUGCCCGGCCUCCCCGCCCCUGCCCCCAGGCCCCGGCCUGGCCGCACCCGCGCCCCCACCGACCACUGCAAGAAGCCUGGGGGCCCCCCUUCUUGGUCCCUCACACUUCUGCCUGUGGGGAGACCAGGGAGACCAGGGGCCCGCACCUCCGCCCUCGCCGCACACCGGGGUCUGGCCGCCCUGCAGGCCUGGAGAGGAAAGGGGGGUCUCCAAGGCCAGGGCUCCGGCCCCCCCCCCAAGGCGGCCCCGCGUCCACCGGGCAGGGCCCCCGCGCGCCCCCGCCCGAGGCAGCCCAGCUGCCCUGUCCCGCGUGGCUGCGGGCCCUGGGGAGAAGCGCCGCAGGGGUGGGGGGGGGGGCGCGCCCGGCCUCCCUGCGCCUCGCACCUGCGCCCACCUGCCCGCCCGCGGAAGUCACCCCCCGCGUAGCCGGGAGCCCGGGGGCGCGCUGUCCCUCGGCUCGGGCCACCGGGAAGGGGUCCAGGGGUGCGGCCCGGGUGAUGCUUCCGCGGCGCCGCGGGGGUCGGGCGCGGGCAGGCGGCCCCUGAAGACCCACCUUCUCAAUGGCAGGUCCAUUCUGUCCCCACAGCGAUCCCGCCGAGCCCCGAAGGGGUCCGCGGGCCCGACCUCUGUGACGUCACAGCCAUCUCCGCGGCGACCCUCCCCGCCCUUGGGCGCCCGCGCCCCCGCGCCCCUGCACUCCGCGCCCCCGCGCCCCUGCACCCUUGCACCCCGCGGCCCUGCACCCCUGCACCCCGCGCCCCUGUGCCCCAGCGCCCCGCGCCUCUGCACUCCGCACCCCUGCGCCCAGCGCCCUGCACCCCGCGCCCCUGCACCCCUGCACCCCGCGUCCCUGCACCCCUGCACCCCGCGCCCCUGCACCCCGCGCCCCUUCGCCCCAGCUCCCCGCGCCCCUGCUCCCCGUGCCCCUGCACCCCGCACCCCGCGCCCCUGCAACCCGCGCCCCUGCACCCCG